Molecule: ribosomal RNA, 253 nt
Filed under: uncultured bacterium
Lineage: Bacteria
Description: partial 16S ribosomal RNA
Rfam family: Bacterial small subunit ribosomal RNA
Source: RNAcentral
UACAGAGGGUGCGAGCGUUGUUCGGAAUUAUUGGGCGUAAAGGGCGCGUAGGCGGUGCGGUAAGUCACCUGUGAAAUCUCCUGGCUCAACUGGGAGCUUGCAGGCGAAACUGCCGUGCUGGAGUGUGGGAGAGGUGCGUGGAAUUCCUGGUGUAGCGGUGAAAUGCGUAGAUAUCAGGAGGAACACCGGUGGCGAAGGCGGGUCUCUGGGCCGUUACUGACGCUGAGGAGCGAAAGCAUGGGGAGCGAACAGG